RNAcentral lists this transfer RNA (76 nucleotides) under Gammaproteobacteria bacterium HGW-Gammaproteobacteria-1. RNAcentral's name for it is "tRNA-Met". It matches the Rfam family "tRNA". Rfam says of the family: Transfer RNA (tRNA) molecules are approximately 80 nucleotides in length. Lineage: Bacteria; Pseudomonadati; Pseudomonadota; Gammaproteobacteria. The record is from RNAcentral.
GGUGAUGUAGCUCAGCAGGUAGAGCGUGGCCCUCAUAAGGCUGAGGUCGUGCGUUCGAGGCGCACCAUCACCACCA